Molecule: ribosomal RNA, 382 nt
Filed under: uncultured eukaryote
Lineage: Eukaryota
Description: partial 18S ribosomal RNA
Rfam family: Eukaryotic small subunit ribosomal RNA
Source: RNAcentral
UGUAAGCGUAUACCAAAGUUGUUGCAGUUAAAACGCUCGUAGUUGGAAUUUGGCAGUUCCGGAAGUGUGCACGUCGUGUGCGCACUUUGCGGGGACUGCUUUUGUGGUCUUGCGUAGGAUGAGGCACUUUCAUUAGUGAACGUCCUCACGCAACCACUCUUUACUGUGAGAAAAUCAGAGUGCUCAAAGCAGGCAUUUGCCGUGAAUGUAUUAGCAUGGAAUAAUAGAAUAGGACUCGGUUCUAUUUUGUUGGUUUGUUGGGACUGAGUAAUGAUUAAGAGGGACAGUUGGGGGCAUUUGUAUUCCGGCGCUAGAGGUGAAAUUCUUAGAUUGCCGGAAGACAAACUGCUGCGAAAGCGUCUGCCAAGGAUGUUUUCAUUGA